RNA transcript from Cucumis melo (muskmelon), 4106 nucleotides. It is a transcript of the gene named ADP-ribosylation factor 1-like, with no coding region annotated. Lineage: Eukaryota; Viridiplantae; Streptophyta; Magnoliopsida; Cucurbitales; Cucurbitaceae. The transcript is spliced from 4 exons. The record is from RefSeq and is a predicted model, not a curated record.
UUGGCCAAUUUCUCUCUAAAGUUUUCCAAAAAUAAAACAAUCUCCAAUUUUCCAAAACUAAAAUAAUGCGGUUGCCCAAUUUCUCUCUACAGUUUUCUUCUUCACUCUCCGUGCAAUCACCAAACCCUAACUUCGAAAAUGCAAUUCCGAUCCACAAGUUAUCUUACUAUCUCCUUCUCCUUUGUGGUGGGGACCUUCGUUCUCUUAUCUUUCAUGUCUUGGAGCACCGGAGUCAUGGGAGGUCGCCGAUUUGGACGUAGCCACGAGUCGAUUGAUGCUCCCUUCUUCAUCCCCUAACAAGAAUUCCAAAUCCUUGGACCACCCUGUUGCCGAUGCUGUUACUGCCUAUCAUUUUUUAUUCCGCUUCGUUGCUUCGGCUUCUUCUGCUCUCGAUAGGGUUUCCGAGGAUGAUGCUAUCAAUCCGGUUGAUCGGUUCCUUCGUGACGAGGCUUUGCACAACCCUGGCAAGCGUCUAUCAAAACAUUUUACAAAGGUUUCAAAAAACUGGACAAGCAAGGGUGUUGGCCACACAGAAACCAAUGAGCAGCAAUGCAACAUGCACACGGUGCACAGAAGGUGUUGCCUUGGUGCCAUCUUUGCAGUAGCAGAAGCAAACUUUCAAAAGCUCUUUGACAAGAAAUUGUGUCAAACUUUUUUUCUUUCUCUUUUCUUCUAGAAACUCUUUCCAGAACAUAUGUAUAUAUAUGUGUGUAUAUACAUAUAUAUUUGCAAAAUCUCUCUUUAAAAAGGUCUAUCCGAAAACAUUUUCUUAGUCUUUUCUUGCUUCAAAUUCUUUUUUGAACUUUUUCCAUAUUAUUUUCUUGAACUUUUGUCUCCCAACAGAGUAAUCUGGAUGUUUGGCUUGGGCGGUUUGCAAUUGCAGGAUUUGCAAUUGCAAUUAGUGUUGAAAUUGCAACAGGCAAGGGGCUUUUAUAGACAUGGGUGCAGUGAUAUCUAGGUUGAGGAAGAGACUUUUUCAGAACCGUGAAGUGAGAAUCCUGAUGCUCGGUUUUGAUGCAUCGGGGAAGACAACCAUUUUGUACAAACUAAAACUUGGUGAAAUAGUUAUGGCCAUGUCAACUAUUGGGUUCAAUGUGGAAACAGUAGAAUACAAAAAAAUGAGCUGCACUGUCUGGGAUGUUGGAGGACAAGAUAAGGUUUGAAAUCACACCCUCUCACUCUGCUUCUGCAAAUACUAUACUUCGAUUACAAUCUGAAAAAGUAAAGAACGUAUGCUUUAAAAUGUAUGUUAAUGGAGCAACAAUAAUGAUCAAAACAUUUGUUUGUGAAAGUUCUAAGACUAAAACUAAAACAUAAAAUUUCAGAGUACACUGUUAUUGUUAAUAAGAUCAUGGCUUUAAGUGAAAACAAUAAAUAAGGUAAGACAAUUUAUCUAAAUAUAUUUCCAAUUAAUUUAAAUUGUAAAAUUGACUUGAUUACUCAUCUCCCGGCCAAAGGAUUUGUUUCAAGUGUGAAGUGUAAAAUCUUUACUUCAUAGGAUUUGUUCAAAUGUGUCAAAAGUGGGAUUCAUCAUAUAACAUAUAUUAAUGCUGAAAUAAGCCUGAUCGUAGGUAAAGAAGUCAGCAGUGAUUUAUUUCAAAUGCUAUUGGAUGUUAGAAAUCAUAAGUGUUUGAUUUGUUAAGUAAUAUUUUUUUGGACAUAAGAGAUCUUAAAUCAUAACUUUGUAUUUGACAAAAAUCUGUUUGAGGUGAAGGGAUGGAAAAUAUCGCAUGCAUAAGCAUCCAAAAUGUUUCGUACAUGUUUGAAACAUAAACUUGAUAGUAUUUGGGUGGUCUAAAUAGAAUUAUAGAAGUCCAAUCUCUUGAAACAUUUUAGGUAUUAGAAUGUACUUAGAGUAAUCUUUUUAGAAGAUAUUUUAGAGUAAGAUGCACAAUUCUCUAAAAUGUGAUAGAAAAAUUGUAUUAUAGAGUGAUUAAAAAUUGAUGGAGAUUCUUUCAACUAGAUGGAGUGGAAAAAAAGUAUAAUAGAACAAUUAUGAACAUGAGAAGAAACAUGCUUAAAAGCAAGAAACUACUUAAAGAGUUCUGGAAAAUAAGUGGUAUGUGCAAUCUACCUGUCCAACCAAUUUCCAUAUAGAAGCAUGAUAGCUUGUGAUUAUCCAUUUGGAAACAUUGCUGGUGUGCAUAUACCAAAAGGAAAAAGAAGUUGGAAUCUUUAUUGGUUAUGAUUUCAGUACCAAAGACUACAAACUCUGCGAUCUUGAUACACAAAGGAAAAUCAUUUCUCGAGUUAUUGUAUAGAUGACAUAAGGAGAAUGAGGUUAGGACGAGUUGAUGAAGACUAAAACUUCUUUCUAUACUUCAAAGAAGGUGACCAUGGAGGAAAUAAAAAUAGAGAGCAAAUGAAAAAGGUGCGCCUCCAUCCCCACCAACUUCACGACCUCAAGCUUUCAAGUAGACAAAAGCUCACGAGAAAGAGUUUUGCACUUCCAAAACUUUCAAGAACUUUAUGAAGUAUCCGCAAACCAAUAUAGUCUUCACUCUUUUGUCUUUUUGACAACCAUGAGCAUAUGAACUUUCUAGGAGCUAUGGAAAACAUAAAGGAAAUGCGUCAUGGAUGAGGAGAUGAAGAAGAUCGGCUCAUGGGAACGAGUCUCACUUCCAAAAUAGCGUAAAACCAUUGAUGUCAAGUGGGUUUACAAAAUCAAAAAGUAUGCCAGAGGAUAAGUUGAAAGAUAUAGCCAAGAUUAAUGAGAAAUGGUUAUAUAAAAAUAGUCUGACAUCCACUGUUGCUUAAUUAGAAAUAAUAAUUUCAUUAGCAGCUCAAAAAAGUUGGAGAAUCCUUCAAAUAGAUGUAAAGUCUACUUUUUUUUCUAAUUAACUUCUUGAGGAAGUAGUCUACGUUGAACAACCACAAGAUUAUGAAGGUGAGGAAAAACAAGACGAAGUUUUGAAGCUAAAAAAGUCAUAUUAUGGGUCGAAGCAUGCUCCAAGAGCUUGGAAUUCUUGAAUAGACAAGUGCUACACCAAAAAAACUUCAUCAAGUGUAUCAGUUGUACGAGUACACACUCUACAUCAAAUUCCAAAUUAAUGAUGUAUUGAUUGUGUGCUAGUAUGUAGAUAUAUAACUGAAUCUAUAGAAGUAGUUAUCUAAGUAUGUUCAACAACUUUUAAGAGAAGACGAAUGCGUUUGAGAUGAUUGAUCGAGCUAAACAUUCAUCAUACAAACCUCUGUUCUAAGUAGGAAACAUAGAUUUGGUCGAAACGACAUUCUCUAAAGUUUGAUAACUAGUUCAUGGUUGAAGUAUCAAUUGAAACGACAUUCUCUGAAGUUGCAACUUCUUCUCAUUUAAGGUUACAAUGUUUAUUUCUAUAUCUGAACUGUAAUUGUUUAGGUAAGAAAAGGUAAAGUGGUCAUUUCCUCUCAAAUUUGAUACUUGGCCUGUCAAAAUUUGGAUUUGACCAUAAAAAUCAAAAUCCGACUCAUGGAAUUUUCGGUCAUUGUAAUGAUAAAACUAGCUACUAAAUAAAUUUUAAGGCCAACUAUUUUAAAACAUAGCCAAAAUGACCAAAAAAUUGAUUGACAUACAAAAUUAGGCUCCGAAUAUUGAGUUAAGCUCAAACUCUCACCUCAAACAACUCUUAAUAGUUAGAAACUAUAAAAUAGUUUUGGCCAUAUCUUUCUAAUGAAACUUUUACUGACUUUACAUUAAUAUGAUUUGUUUUAUAGGACGUACAACUGUGUUUUUGAGUUUUGUAAAACUUUUAUGAACACAAUGUAUCUGAAAAAUAGUCUAUGGUGUCUAGUUACUAAUGCUUCAUGUUAAUUUGAUAUUUUACGUAAUUGUAGUGAUGAACUUAUAUUUAUUUAAUUAGAGAACAAAAUAUUUAAACAAAUGAAAACUUGAGUUUGUUACAUAGAUAAGGCCAUUAUAAAGACAUUACUUCCAGAACACCCAAGAACUUGUAUUUGUUGUAGAUAGCGAUGACAGAGACAAAAUUUGUGAAGCUCGUAAUGAGUUGCAUCGUAUUCUCAAUGUGGUAUACUCUACACUGAAUUUUCAUUCUCACUAUGCUUUUGCUUAGUUGUGUGAUAAUAAUUAUUUGAUAAACCAUAUUCCAUAGCAAUGCACAAAAGUUCUCUGA